AACGAGCGCUGGCGGCAUGCCUAACACAUGCAAGUCGAACGAGACCUUCGGGUCUAGUGGCGCACGGGUGCGUAACGCGUGGGAACCUGCCCUUAGGUUCGGAAUAACUCCCCGAAAGGGGUGCUAAUACCGGAUAAUGUCUUCGGACCAAAGAUUCAUCGCCUUUGGAUGGGCCCGCGUUGGAUUAGCUAGUUGGUAGGGUAAAAGCCUACCAAGGCGACGAUCCAUAGCUGGUCUGAGAGGAUGAUCAGUCACACUGGGACUGAGACACGGCCCAGACUCCUACGGGAGGCAGCAGUAGGGAAUAUUGGGCAAUGGGCGAAAGCCUGAUCCAGCGAUGCCGCGUGAGUGAUGAAGGCCUUAGGGUUGUAAAGCUCUUUUACCCGGGAUGAUAAUGACAGUACCGGGAGAAUAAGCGCCGGCUAGCUCCGUG
This 433-nucleotide ribosomal RNA is filed under the name uncultured bacterium. RNAcentral describes it as "partial 16S ribosomal RNA". It matches the Rfam family "Bacterial small subunit ribosomal RNA", at positions 29 to 507 of the family's 1533-position model. The record is from RNAcentral.